Molecule: ribosomal RNA, 406 nt
Filed under: uncultured bacterium
Lineage: Bacteria
Also listed under: 1 other name
Description: bacterial SSU rRNA
Rfam family: Bacterial small subunit ribosomal RNA
Source: RNAcentral
UGGGGAAUAUUGCACAAUGGGCGAAAGCCUGAUGCAGCAACGCCGCGUGAGGGAAGACGGUUUUCGGAUUGUAAACCUCUGUUUUCGGUGACGAACAAAUGACGGUAACCGAGUAGGAAGCCACGGCUAACUACGUGCCAGCAGCCGCGGUAAUACGUAGGUGGCAAGCGUUAUCCGGAAUUACUGGGUGUAAAGGGAGCGCAGGCGGGAUAGCAAGUCAGCUGUGAAAACUAUGGGCUCAACCCAUAAACUGCAGUUGAAACUGUUAUUCUUGAGUGGAGUAGAGGCAAGCGGAAUUCCGAGUGUAGCGGUGAAAUGCGUAGAUAUUCGGAGGAACACCAGUGGCGAAGGCGGCUUGCUGGGCUCUAACUGACGCUGAGGCUCGAAAGUGUGGGGAGCAAACAGG